GAAGCCAGGAGCCUCUAUAGAGCUCCACAAGCAAAGGGACGAUGGUGGCUGCAGGGCGGGUGGGGAAGAGCACAGGCACCGAAAGCUCUCAGAGGUCACCCAAGCGAAGAAGUUGAUUUUGGCCGCCAGGGAAUAGGUAGUGAUGUCUGGAGACCCAGAAGAGGCCAGGACAGCUGCUGAACCCCGCGAGGCCCAGGACGAACUGAUCUGACCCUGCAUACCAGCAGUACUGGGGCUCAGAACCCCCAAUUAAUGUGAUGCUGCUGUUGCCCUGUCUGGACCCUUCAUGGUCAGAGCGUCCUCCAGAGCCAGGUGGUGAUGCCUCCUUCAGAGCAGGUGAAGAGCACUGAAGGACCCUUGUUCUCAA
Molecule: long non-coding RNA, 367 nt
Organism: Chinchilla lanigera (long-tailed chinchilla)
Lineage: Eukaryota; Metazoa; Chordata; Mammalia; Rodentia; Chinchillidae
Exons: 3
Source: RefSeq, a predicted model, not a curated record